GACGAACGCUGGCGGCGUGCCUAAUACAUGCAAGUAGAACGCUGAAGGAGGAGCUUGCUUCUCUGGAUGAGUUGCGAACGGGUGAGUAACGCGUAGGUAACCUGCCUGGUAGCGGGGGAUAACUAUUGGAAACGAUAGCUAAUACCGCAUAAGAGUAGAUGUUGCAUGACAUUUGCUUAAAAGGUGCAAUUGCAUCACUACCAGAUGGACCUGCGUUGUAUUAGCUAGUUGGUGAGGUAACGGCUCACCAAGGCAACGAUACAUAGCCGACCUGAGAGGGUGAUCGGCCACACUGGGACUGAGGCACGGCCCAGACUCCUACGGGAGGCAGCAGUAGGGAAUCUUCGGCAAUGGACGGAAGUCUGACCGAGCAACGCCGCGUGAGUGAAGAAGGGUUUCGGAUCGUAAAGCUCUGUUGUAAGAGAAGAACGAGUGUGAGAGUGGAAAGUUCACACUGUGACGGUAUCUUACCAGAAAGGGACGGCUAACUACGUG
Molecule: ribosomal RNA, 495 nt
Filed under: uncultured bacterium
Lineage: Bacteria
Description: partial 16S ribosomal RNA
Rfam family: Bacterial small subunit ribosomal RNA
Source: RNAcentral